AAACCCUAAACCGCACAAAACCGCCUACGCCAUUCCGCUGUCCGCAAUCCACUCCCUCCUCCCACGAAACUCUUGGCCAUGGCUUGGCGCGGCGCCGCCUCCCGCUCAAUCUUCGCCGCCGUCCGUGCCCGCGCCGCAUCCUCCUCCUCCUCCUCAGCGGCCACGCGCCUCCGCUCGGCGGCUCCAAUUGCCGCCACCCCGCGCCGCACCGUCCCCGCCUUUGCUUUCGCGGCCGCGAGGCCGUUGGCGGCGAUGGCGGGGUACCCCGCGGCGGUCGCGGUGAGGCUCACCGGGCACUCGGCGACGAGCGUGCGGGCGUGCUGUGAGCUCUCCCAGGGUACCCUCUUCUGCCGCACUUGUCAGGAUCGUUAGCAAGUUAGUGAUCAUGCAUCAUGAUAUGUCAUCAUCGUAUGUACUGUAUAUCCGUGGGCACCUAUGGUUGCUCAUUUUGUCCAAGAUUUGUAAUCCUUAUAUUUGUUCAAUUCGUGUUAUGCAAUGAUCCUAUGCAUGUGCCUUGGUAGCAUUGCUCCUGUUUCAUGGGCAGCAGCCUAAGAAUUUUGCAGAGUUGAACCAGGAAUGGGUUGUUGCUUGAGGAAAUGACGAUGAUGCAUGAUGCUUGGGAAGCAGUUUUAAAGCAUGGAAAAGGUGCUGCUGUGAUAAGUGAACUAUUUUUCUUGUUACUUUGGCACUUGAAUGCACACUUUUGUCUUCCAAUGCAAGGGUAGGAUCUCUCGUCGGGCUUGCGGCCUUUUUCCUGCAUUUUGCAGAGUGCCUCGUGUGUCGGCAAACGGACAGUACACUUGCUGCAACUAAAAUAUAAACAAGCCUAUGUUAGCCUGCUACGCAGUACGCACUGUGUUCGUGCAUGUUUUCAUUUGACCUUGUUUCCAUGAUGCUUCGACGUGUUACGCGUGCUCGUGCUUCUUGCUGUGUCAUCACUGGUCCACAUUUUCUUGCGGAAAGUGUUCCUUUGUACGAGCUUAUGAAACCAGUGUGCACAAGCGACGGACGGAUUUGUACCAUCCAGAACGAUAGUGAUCCGUUUUACCAACUCCUGAAA
Molecule: RNA transcript, 1060 nt
Organism: Zea mays
Lineage: Eukaryota; Viridiplantae; Streptophyta; Magnoliopsida; Poales; Poaceae
Exons: 4
Source: RefSeq, marked validated